UACCGGAUAGGACACAUCGGCGCAUGUUGGUGUGUGGAAAGAUUCGGUUCGGCUGGGGAUGGGCCCGCGGCCUAUCAGCUUGUUGGUGGGGUGAUGGCCUACCAAGGCGGUGACGGGUAGCCGGCCUGAGAGGGCGACCGGCCACACUGGGACUGAGACACGGCCCAGACUCCUACGGGAGGCAGCAGUGGGGAAUAUUGCGCAAUGGGCGGAAGCCUGACGCAGCGACGCCGCGUGGGGGAUGACGGCCUUCGGGUUGUAAACCUCUUUCGCCAGGGACGAAGCUUUUGUGACGGUACCUGGAUAAGAAGCACCGGCCAACUACGUGCCAGCAGCCGCGGUAACACGUAGGGUGCGAGCGUUGUCCGGAAUUAUUGGGCGUAAAGAGCUCGUAGGCGGUGUGUCGCGUCGGCCGUGAAAACUUGGGGCUUAACUCCGAGCGUGCGGUCGAUACGGGCAUCACUUGAGUUCGGCAGGGGAGACUGGAAUUCCUGGUGUAGCGGUGAAAUGCGCAGAUAUCAGGAGGAACACCGGUGGCGAAGGCGGGUCUCUGGGCCGAUACUGACGCUGAGGAGCGAAAGCGUGGGGAGCGAACAGGAUUAGAUACCCUGGGUAGUCCACGCCGUAAACGUUGGGCGC
RNAcentral lists this ribosomal RNA (639 nucleotides) under uncultured Actinomycetes bacterium. Its description in RNAcentral is "bacterial SSU rRNA". It matches the Rfam family "Bacterial small subunit ribosomal RNA", at positions 167 to 816 of the family's 1533-position model. The record is from RNAcentral. Lineage: Bacteria; Bacillati; Actinomycetota; Actinomycetes.